This 1387-nucleotide ribosomal RNA is filed under the name uncultured bacterium. Its description in RNAcentral is "bacterial SSU rRNA". It matches the Rfam family "Bacterial small subunit ribosomal RNA". The record is from RNAcentral.
AGAGUUUGAUCCUGGCUCAGGAUGAACGCUGGCGGCGUGCCUAAUACAUGCAAGUCGAACGCGGGCACUUGUGCCCGAGUGGCGAACGGGUGAGUAAUACAUAAGUAACCUGGCCUUUACAGGGGGAUAACUGCUGGAAACGGCAGCUAAGACCGCAUAGGUAGGGACACUGCAUGGUGACCGUAUUAAAAGUGCUGCAAGGCACUGGUAGAGGAUGGACUUAUGGCGCAUUAGCUGGUUGGUGAGGUAACGGCUCACCAAGGCGACGAUGCGUAGCCGACCUGAGAGGGUGACCGGCCACACUGGGACUGAGACACGGCCCAGACUCCUACGGGAGGCAGCAGUAGGGAAUUUUCGGCAAUGGGGGGAACCCUGACCGAGCAACGCCGCGUGAAGGAAGAAGGAAUUCGUUCUGUAAACUUCUGUUAUAAAGGAAGAAAGACGGAUGGAGGAAAUGACAUCCGAGUGACGGUACUUUAUGAGAAAGCCACGGCUAACUACGUGCCAGCAGCCGCGGUAAUACGUAGGUGGCAAGCGUUAUCCGGAAUUAUUGGGCGUAAAGAGGGAGCAGGCGGCAGCAAAGGUCUGUGGUGAAAGACUGAAGCUUAACUUCAGUAAGCCAUAGAAACCGGGCAGCUAGAGUGCAGGAGAGGAUCGUGGAAUUCCAUGUGUAGCGGUGAAAUGCGUAGAUAUAUGGAGGAACACCAGUGGCGAAGGCGACGAUCCGGCCCGCAACUGACGCUCAGUCCCGAAAGCGUGGGGAGCAAAUAGGAUUAGAUACCCUAGUAGUCCACGCCGUAAACGAUGAGUACUAAGUGUUGGAAGUCAAAUUUCAGUGCUGCAGUUAACGCAGUAAGUACUCCGCCUGAGUAGUACGUUCGCAAGAAUGAAACUCAAAGGAAUUGACGGGGGCCCGCACAAGCGGUGGAGCAUGUGGUUUAAUUCGAAGCAACGCGAAGAACCUUACCAGGUCUUGACAUACUCAUAAAGGAUCCAGAGAUGGAUAGAUAGUUAUAUGAGAUACAGGUGGUGCAUGGUUGUCGUCAGCUCGUGUCGUGAGAUGUUGGGUUAAGUCCCGCAACGAGCGCAACCCUUGUCGUUAGUUACCAUCAUUAAGUUGGGGACUCUAGCGAGACUGCCAGUGACAAGCUGGAGGAAGGCGGGGAUGACGUCAAAUCAUCAUGCCCCUUAUGACCUGGGCUACACACGUGCUACAAUGGAUGGUGCAGAGGGAAGCGAAGCCGCGAGGCGAAGCAAAACCCAUAAAACCAUUCUCAGUUCGGAUUGUAGUCUGCAACUCGACUACAUGAAGUUGGAAUCGCUAGUAAUCGCGAAUCAGCAUGUCGCGGUGAAUACGUUCUCGGGCCUUGCACUCACCGCCCGUCAA